RNAcentral lists this RNase P RNA (512 nucleotides) under uncultured Clostridium sp. RNAcentral's name for it is "Bacterial RNase P class A". It matches the Rfam family "Bacterial RNase P class A". From Rfam's summary of the family: Ribonuclease P (RNase P) is a ubiquitous endoribonuclease, found in archaea, bacteria and eukarya as well as chloroplasts and mitochondria. Its best characterised activity is the generation of mature 5'-ends of tRNAs by cleaving the 5'-leader elements of precursor-tRNAs. Cellular RNase Ps are ribonucleoproteins. Lineage: Bacteria; Bacillati; Bacillota; Clostridia; Eubacteriales; Clostridiaceae. The record is from RNAcentral.
AGCCGGACAGAUGGUCGCUGCUGUAAGAGCCGAAAGGCUGCAGGAGAGGAAAGUCCGGGCUUCACAGGGCAGGAUGCCAGAUAACGUCUGGUGGAGGCGACUCCCAGGACAGUGCAACAGAAAUAUACCGCGUAAGCAAUGAGUCCACAUAGGACCGGAUUUCGGACAGGAGCUUCAUGCAGGCUUGCCUGCAAUGAAGCGAGUGUACGGAAGACGGGAUACGCGGCGAAUGCCGCGUAUCCCACAUGCUGUGCAUGUGGGAUACCUAUGUGGAAAUUCUGCGGGAGGCCUCUGGCCGAUGACCGCGCUUACGUAAGGGUGGAAGGGCAGUGUAAGAGACUACCGCCUGGGUGGUAACACGCAGGGCACAUGUAAACCCCAUCCGAAGCAAGACCGAACAGGGAGCAUAUGGCGGCCCGUCAGCUCCCGGGCAGGUCGCUUGAGCCUGGCGGCGACGUCAGGUCUAGAUAGAUGACCAUCCAACGACAUAACCCGGCUUAUCGUCCGGCUCA